Molecule: non-coding RNA, 1601 nt
Filed under: Pongo abelii (Sumatran orangutan)
Lineage: Eukaryota; Metazoa; Chordata; Mammalia; Primates; Hominidae
Source: RNAcentral
AAACAGAUUCAUGCAGCCCCUGAAAUACCUUUUUUGUCUGAAACACCUUUUUUGUCUGAAACUCAAUUCCAGGCUUCAGGCUGAGGCCCUAGAAAGGAAAACCAGAUCUGAGGGAUCCAAAGCCUGGCAACGGGCACAAUAAUGGGCGAUCAGCUGUCUUCACCACCCCCAGCUUAUUCUCUAGAGUGUAUCCUGAACCACUGGGACUGCUUUGACCCUCAGACUCUGGAGGAAAUGGCUCAUAGCCCUCUGCACAAAGGUUUGGGCAAAUUAUGAAGGACUGGCUUGGGCUCAGGAAGAAACCAUUCAUUUCGAUAUCAUCCAGCAGUUGGAGCUUUUCUGUAAACGUGAGGGCAAAUGCUCUGAGGCCCCAUAUGUGCAGGCUUUCUAUACCUUGCAGGGCAAUCCAGACCUUUGCUGACAAUGCAGAGUUAAUCCAGACUGGUUUGCCAUCUCGGGAGAGGCUGCAAGGGGCAAUCCCAGGGAACUAAACAAACAAAUCCCAGAGGCAUCCCCAGCAGAGGAGCCAGCUCCCUCCAGCCCUGCUCCUCCAUGUCCACCCCAUCCUCCCUAUCCAGCUUCAGUCUCUCACUUGCCGCCUCCUAGAAAUUCUCACCCUAGACAAGCCCCAGUCUCAUUCUUUCCCCUCCAACAGAUGCCUGGUGAAUUUGCCCCAGUAAGGUCUAGGUGCCCUUCUCUCUACAGAACUUGAAGCAAAUUGAGGGGGAUCUUGGCAAGUUUUCAGAUGACCCUGAAAGAUAUAUAGAGGCUUUCCAGAACUUAAUCCAAGUAUUUGAACUCUCCUAAGAAGAUGUCAUGUUACUUUGAACCAAACCCUGACUAACACUGAGAAGCAGGCCACUCUGCAAGUGACAGAGAGAUCUGGGGAUGAGGUUUGUAUCAUAUGUAGGAAAGGGGGUGAAUAUUAUCCAACUGGAAGAGAAGCAGUAUCAAUGAAAGUCUCUAAAUGGGAUCCCAAUGACAAGAUGGGAGAAAGGAAGAGGAGAGUUUCAGGUGUGCAUAAUAGAGAGCUUAUGUAGGACUAGAAGUAAGCCUCUCCACUAUAUCAAGAUAUCCAUGAUAGAUCAGGGAUUUAAUGAAAAUCGCACUGCCUUCUUGGGGAGGCUAAGAGGGGCCUUUGUAAAGCAUAGGUCUCUGUGUCCCAAUUCUGUCAAGGGACAACUAAUCCUAAAUGAUAAAUGUAUUACUCAGGCAGCCCCUGAUAUCAGAGGGAAGUUGCAGAAAUGGGCCCUGGCAUCAGGGAGUACUUUAGGAGACCUCCUGAAAGUGGCCACCUUGGUCUUUUACAGUAUAGAUAGGGAGACACAAGAAAGAGGCAGAAGCUUUAAGGGCCACCAUGCAAACCCACAAACCCCAGAAUUCCUAACGUGCAUCUGUUAACUCCUACAGAUGUGGCAAGAACAGUUAUCUCUCUUCUAAAAUUUAACCACACCCAUACAAGUCUUAAUUUCUUUCACCAGGGUGAAACAGCUCAGGGUACAAUGUUGUGAGUAUAUUACAUUUCCUAUUUCUGUAAUCUUUGGCACUAGAUUAUUUCCUUGUAUAAUACACAUGUUUAACCCAUGCAUACUUAACACCUU